UACGUAGGGGGCAAGCGUUGUCCGGAAUCAUUGGGCGUAAAGCGUGCGCAGGCGGUUCGUUGUGUCGGCGGUGAAAGCCCCGGGCUCAACCUGGGAAUGGCCGUUGAAACUGGCGAACUGGAGUGUGGCAGAGGGGGGUGGAAUUCCGCGUGUAGCAGUGAAAUGCGUAGAGAUGCGGAGGAACACCGAUGGCGAAGGCAGCCCCCUGGGCUGACACUGACGCUCAGGCACGAAAGCGUGGGGAGCAAACAGG
This 253-nucleotide ribosomal RNA is filed under the name uncultured bacterium. Its description in RNAcentral is "partial 16S ribosomal RNA". It matches the Rfam family "Bacterial small subunit ribosomal RNA", at positions 524 to 776 of the family's 1533-position model. The record is from RNAcentral.